This 10885-nucleotide long non-coding RNA is filed under the name Nicotiana tabacum (common tobacco). Its description in RNAcentral is "long non-coding RNA (NTAB_LNC015075)". The record is from RNAcentral. Lineage: Eukaryota; Viridiplantae; Streptophyta; Magnoliopsida; Solanales; Solanaceae.
UAAAGCAUUAAAGAUAAUGCCUAUAAGCUUCGUCAGUUCCGCAAUAUGUUUUCCUCUAAGCAUGAAGUAUUUGAACCUUAAAUAUGUUUUUGCCUUUGCAAUACUAGAUAACCUUAUCUAUGACUCCGACAAUUCCUUCUUACACGUUAGUUAACUUAAAAUACAUGUAUACUAAAUAUCUUGUAUAUGGGUUAAAAUUGAUAUAUAUGUAAAGGUUAGUAAUUGGAUAUACAUGAGUGUCAUCUUUGUGAUAGACGUCAUGUUCGAAGUCCUCGAAAUACUGAAUCUGCUUCUGGAUAAGAAGAAUGGGUAUUUUGUUUAUUGUUCCACUAUUGUGAUUUCUGAACAAAAAUAGCGGAUUGACUUUUGUAAUUGAAUAGUAUUAUAUAGAUGCUGUAACUUAGUCAUAAUAUUUUUAUGGCAUAGAGUUUGGCCGUUUAAGACCUUGAUGUUAGAGCUAUAGAACAAAAAUCUAUUAUUCUUCUUAAGGAAAACAGUUUUAUGCGGAGUAUUUCAUCUUAUAAACUUUUAUGGGAUGAGUUAAAUUAUGAGUCUUUACUUCUUUAUUUAUUUCUUAUGUAGUAUAAAGAAUCAGAUUCCAUUUUCUAAUUCUUAUUUCUUGUUUGCCUUUGCAUAUGCACAUGGAGCAAAUGGAGUCUAAUUCAAGACUCUGGCAGUGGAAUCUCAUUGAGACUCAAUACUAUCCGAGUAUGGAGUUAUCACAUCCUACACCGUCUUCCUUAGAAUGCACCAAAUAGCAAGCAAACAAGCGAGACGCUUGGGGGCACCUAUGGCGUUCUUCUUUUAAUUCUUUUGUCAUUCAUUUUAUCUAACUUUUGUGAUUGUUAAUUUGCUUGUGUAUUUGGGUUUUAUCUCAAGUUUGGAUUUAAUUAUUUAGGUUCUUUGCUAUCCUUAUAUCACAUAGGAUACGCUAAUUAGAAUGAGGAAUCUAAGAUCGAUAAUCUAAUAACUUUCUUUUCUUAUUAAUCAUUAGAGUAUUCAUUUUCUAGGAAGCUUAACAAUAUGCUCCAGACACUUUUUUAUAAGAAGUCAAAACGGUUUUCAAAAGAAUAAGCUAAGUACUGUUAGAAGUAUAUAUGCAAAAUAAUUUUGACCAACUCUCUUAGUCUAUCUUUGAAAAUAGAUUCUUAUUAUCAUCUUUGAAGCUACAUUUUGCCAAGCAAUUCCAUACAUAUUUCUUUUUACAAGAAAAGAACAUUAUUUGUAAAAGUUACUUUUCAAAUAAAGAUAGUUACUUGGCUAACUUACUUACUGGUCUUGUCCCAUUUUGAUCAUUUAAAUAUUGACGCUCAAUUAUAUGUUUUUACAACACUUAUAAAGAGGCCUUGGCUGGUCUAGUUCACUUGUUUUUUUUAAAAAAUUUCAACUUAUUGUUAAGUCAUUUUUAUAAAUUACUAUUUUAAGUAACAUGCGCAUAUAUUGGUUACAAGCAACUUUCUUUAGAUACCCAACACCUAAAUGAUGUACUUAUAUAUAUACCUUAGCCUUAAUUAACCUAAGUUUGGUCGGUUAAUCGUAAUUUACGGAUCAUAUAGGGUGCCUUAAUAACCUUCCCUAUAGGAUUAAUUAGAACCCUUACCCAUAAUCUUAAGGUUAAGCAGGCCAUAAAACAGAGUUAAGCAUUAUUUAGCUAAAAUUGGUGUCCUAAUUCACCAUUAAACCAAUUAGGUGACGGUUUUUUUAAUUAAUUAAACCCCUAGAAUUAUCAAUAUGUUACACUCUAGUUUGAUCCGUGUUGAAAUGGGGUAUAACAGCAUGGCGACUCUGCUGGGGAUUCUAGGUUCUAAACCAUAACAAACUUAGGUUAAUAAUAAUAAUUAAUUUGCGUGUUUUUAUUGUUAUGAUGCUUAUUUGAAUUGACUUUAUAUGAUAAACUAUAUUUUUAUGAAUUGUUUAUCUGUUCUUAUUGAUUUAUAUAAAUUGUCAUUCCGCUUCACUUCCUCCACUUCUGAAAAAUUCACACAAAGCACAGACCUAGCGGUUACGUGGUUUGCAGCCGUGCACUUUUCAAAAAUACCUUUUAGGGAAAAGUUCGUGGGUAAGUCGAUCAGCAAUACAGUCGACAGUCACGGGCUUUCCACUCUCAAGUUGUCCGCUUGGGAGAUGACCAGUUUAGAAAAACCCACUCUUAGUCAGCCUAAGAUAGAGCUAAACCAAAACCUUUUUAAGAGCAUGCAUCAUUUUAACCUUAGGUGAUUUAAUACCCGAGGUGUAUUAAACCCAUUAGUUGACAACACCUAAAUGUUCAAGUGGGUUUUCAACCCCAUGUAACACCUUUAUAUGUGCAUUAUUUGAAGGAUGAACAUGCCAAUUAUGUGGAUCAUUUACUUUAAAUUAAUUAAAUCCUAGUUAAAGGAGCAUGACUAUCUUUAUUUAUAACAUGUGUAAAGUUUUGCGGAACAAGGAGAAGUUUACGCAUGACAAAAUAUCUUUUAUUGUACUUUCUUUUGAUUUUUUUACGUAAAAAUAAAUAAAAUGGCUUAAGCAAUUCAUGUACUUUAUUUGCUUUUGAAAAAUAGAAUAACUUAAUUAAUUUAUUAUAAUUAAUAAUUAUAAAUAUAUUUUAUUAUACUUUCUUUUGUUCUUUUGAUGAAAAUACACUCCCUUUUUGCAAAAUAAAAAAGAAAGGGAAAGAUGUUUAAGCAGUUAUACUUUACUGUUUAUUCGUUUUUCAAAAAUAGAAUUAUUAAUUUAUAGAAAUGGGAUGAUACAUAAUGGUAUAUUUAUCUUUUAAAUAUACGUUAGGCUUACCUCUGGCAUAAAGAGGCCUCACCACGUAUUAGAGCGCGCUAUUAUUUGCUUUGGAAUGUGUCACAUGCUUUGCUUGCCUACUUGCUUUCUUGCUUACUUGCUAUGUUGCUUGCUCGACUUUAUUAUUUUUACUAAUAUUAUUUGUUGUUUUUCAGAAAAAGGAAGUAUUAACUAUCCAAUUUGUUUACAUCUUUAUUUAAAUAUAUAUUUUAUUUGUUCAUAUAUUUUUUUUUUCUUUUUUUUCUUCUGCUUAUUUUUAUAUCAUCUUCCUGAAAUCGUCUCGCUUAGCUUUUUAACAACUCUAGAGCACCAUUUAGGUAUUUACUUAAGCUCAAUUUUCUCUUAGGUCCAUUCCAUUUCUUAGAGUCUAACUAAGAUAUCUUUUAGUCUUUGGGCAUAAUAUUCUAUUAUUUAUAAGGUAUAAUAUUUUGCUCGCAAACUCUUCAAUAAGCUCGGUUCGUCAUGAAAAUUUGAUAUUCAUGCCUUAAACUAGCAUUACGAAUUUUCUUUAGACAACAAUGAGCAUCUCACUCCCUAUAGCAAGAUAUUAUUCCUACUUCUUUAAAAAACAUUUGGCGUAAUAUUUCAUAAUUAGAAAAUAUUUUUCCGAUCUAAUUUAGUGAGUUAGUUUUAUUUGCAUCCUUUUCAUAAAAAUAAUAUUGCCACUCGUGCCUCACAUAAUUUUUCAAUUUUUCCAAUUAUAUCGUAAUCUUGUACCUUUAAUAUUCGUCUCAUAGCUUCAUAUCUCUUAGAAUUCCAACCUUCGUGUCAAUUUUCAUUUCCAAGUUGGUAGAUGCCCAAACUUGCGCAAUCUACUGAGCAAUAGAAGGCCACUAUUUGGUCAAUUUGCAUCGUCAAAUUGUUCUAAAAUUUUACCUAUUCAAUUCAUGUGUCUAUCCCAUCUUAUUUCGGGGUCGUCGAGAUUAAUCCUCCUGCACCCGCCAAUUUCAAGUCUUGGCAUGCGAGUCGAGGUACUAUCCCAUAAGUCUCAAAACGGUUGAUACCGUAUUUCGGACCUCGACAUCUUUAUGAUUUGCCAAUGCUAAAAAAAAAUAAAAAAAUAAUAGUCAUUUCAUGUCCAAUUGACUCUUAUAUCCUAAUUAAGUAUCUUGAUUCUGAGCUUGUCGAUAUUCAAACAGCAAAAAAUUAUUUUUCAACGUCAAAAUUAUUCGCGUAUGGCCUCUUUGAAGCACGGUCUAUAUAAGGCUCGAUCUCAUUACAGCAAAAUUUUCAUUUCCCUUCAUGAAAGAAACUGGUGCAAAUUUUGGCACACAGGUUGAGCAUGCUCGAAAGGGACAUCAUGCCAUGGAAUAAUAAUCAAAACCUUCCCAAAGAUUGGGGCAAUUUUUGAAAAUUCCAGAGCCAUCAAAGUUAUGCUAGAGCUAAAACUUUGAUGUUCGACAUGAGUCAACCUUUUACAAAAAAUUUAAAUUAAUUCGUUUCCAUGUCAACAAGUCUCGAGCAUUAGAGCCCCCUAGAUAACAACUCAUUCUCGUCCAUCCAUUUUGCAACUUAGGCCAUCAUUUCCAGUUUAGGGCUCCUACUUAACCAUAUCAUAAAUUAAUCUAUCUAAUUACACACUUUAUUACUUUGUGCAUUUAUUCGAUUCUGAUAAAUACGCUAACACUUUACUUUUAUUUUGUAUAGUUAUAUUUUUCCUUUAAAGGUUGCCUAUCAUUGAACACUGUUUUGGCUAUGAAUCUACAUAAAGGACGGGCUAUAAUGGCAGAUCAUUUUGAAGAAUUCAGUAUCAGUAUGGUACUAUUGCAAUCAUAGAAUGAUGGCACCAAGGUGCAUGUGGUACAAAGAAAAGUAUUGGUCAAUUUGGGAAGCACUUUCAACCUUCUUCCAAAUACAACCUCCACCUUCAGCUCCACCAUAAAUAUUUGCUUUACCAUAUCUCCUUAUCCAACUCCUACUUGUACAAUCUCUCCACAAAUGCAAAUAACCUGCAAUCCCAAUCAAGUCAUGAUGAUUCCUAAUACCCAACUUCCUAUAACCACAACUCCAUUUGAGGAGGACAAGCAAAAACGACUGGCAAUAUGCCCGUAUAAGAGACCUGAAAAAUUAACCUAGCAGAUUUGCCACAAAAAAUUACAGAAUGAACUCCAUAAUUUGAAGAAAGUCAUUGGAGAAGAAUUGCAGUCGAGAAAUUAUCAAAGUCUACGAUAUGAAGACUUGUGCUUGCAGCCACAUAUUGAACUGCCACCAGGGUAUCAACUACCAAAGUUCAAUACUUUCAGUGGGAAAUGAAAUCCCAUCGCUUAUUUAAAGGACUAUUGUAGCAGGUUACUUGAUAUUGGGCACAAUGAGGCCAUUCAAAUGAAGUUAUUUAUCCAAAGCUUAUCAGGACCUGCACUUAUUUGGUACACAAAACAAGAUUUUAGCAAAUGGAACACGUGGGAUGAUAUGACUCACGAUUUUGUAAAGCAAUAUGAGUUCAACCUUGGAGUCGAUCCAGACAUGCAUAACCUGUACAAAAUAGAGAAAAUGCCACAUGAAUAUUUUCAGGAUUAUGCAAUCCGGUGGAGAUUUGAAGCUUCAAAGGUGCACCCUCCGCUAUCUGAGAAAGAAUUAAUUUCACUCUUCAUUGACAUUCAAAAUGGCAUAUAUUAUGAAAAGCUGGCUAUUGCAAUCGUACGUAAUUUCUCAGACUUGAUUAGAGUCGGGGACUUCCUAGAAAGUGACAUCAAAGAAGGAAAGGUUAACAUGCAAACUAUCAAUCAUGCUUUACAACCUGAGAUGUUAGAAAAUUGGAAAUGCAAAGAGAAGAAAAAUGCCAUAGUUUCCAUGACUAUGCAUCAACCGCAAUGCCAUCAUGAUCACCAGCUCCUUCAAAAUCUUUCCAUAUCUAAUGCCCGUAACAUGCAUCUCCAGCCUCCUCGUCAACAAAGCAUUCAACAUCAACAUCAUCAAGCACAAGUCGUUUAUCACCAAAAGAAAAGAAAGCCUCGCAACUUCACACCUAUGACUGAAUUAAUCUCUAGCAUAUUCCAAGAAAAGGAAGAAUUUUCGACCCUUCACAUCCAUUAUUUGAUCUUUCCAAGUAUUGUGCCUACCAUUCAUAAGCUCAAGGUCAUGAUACAGAAGAAUUCUAGCAUUAAAGCAUAAGAUUCAGAAUAUGAUUGAUGCUACCAAAUUGCAAGUGCACCUACCAGUUGGAACAAACAUCUCAAAUGCAACUACCAGCAGUACAAGCAAUACACCUAGUGUGGUUGGUCAUCCGAAGAAGAAACGUCGUCUAAAAAAAUGACAAGAUUAGUUCACCUGACCUUGACGGCAUUAUCAUUUUGCAACCUUUGAGUAGCUAUAUUUUGUAAUCAUACCUUAAUUUUGUAAAUGAAUUACGUUCCAACCUGAUUCCUAUUUAAGAGGGAUACAUAGGCAGCCUUAUGGGUUCGGUCUCAUCAUAAUUAAAAUCCUAUUUACCCCAAAAGCCAAAUCCGGGGCAGAUUUUGCAUAGGGAUCCUCAUCAUUCGGCAAAGCAGAAAAUGAAAUCUCGAGCUACAUAUUUAUUACAAGCACAACAGCAAAUUCCAGAAUGCCAUGGCAACAAGUUGUAGAUUCAAAGCCAAACUUUGACGUUCAAUGCAAGGCAACCACUUUAUUUUAUACUAACGAAUUUGCUUUAAGUAAUGCAGGGGCAUAUUUUAGCUAUUCUCGAACAUUACAUGAUAUCGCAAAGCUCAACAUCAAGUCAAAAGUCAUAAAGUUCAUGCAAAACAAAGGAUGAAGCCAAGCAAGCGCAAAUCAAACUGUGAAACUUAUAAUUGUUCUUUGAGUGCAGGAAUUUAUUAAUGGCAAAACUUCAUUUUGAAGCUCCAACAACUGUUAGCAUUGCACCAGGAAUUUCUUUACUACGAAGGCAUUCCAUCAAGUGCUCUGGACCGCACCAUUCACUAUAGCAAAAGCGUCGCACUAAGCCCUCUGCAUUGCACCAUCAAUAUAUGUUACUUCGAAGAAAUUAUACCAAGCUCUUUACACCGCAUUACGAAUUCCAAGACUACAAAUCAAGCAUCACACCAAGCUUCUGCACCGCACCAAUAUUUGAAAUUGUAAAUCAAGAGCCAUGCAUCUAGGUUCGUCCACCUAAUAAUAGGACAAAAAGGUCGUCCGCCUAAUUAAUAGGACAUGAGGUUGUCCACUUGAUAAUAGGACAUAAGGCAGUCCGCCUGAUAAUAGGACAUGAGGUUGUCGACCUGAUAAUAGGACAUAAGGUAGUCCGCCUGAUAAUAGGACAUGAGGUUGUCCACCUGAUAAUAGGACAUAAGGUAGUCCACCUGAUAAUAGGACAUAAGGUUGUAGGACAUAAGGUAGUCCGCCUGAUAAUAGGACAUGAGGUAGUCCACCUGAUUAAUAGGAUAUUAGGUUGUCCGCUUGAUUAAUUGGACACAAGGUUGUCCACCUAAUAUAGGAUAUUUCGGGUUCAUCCGCCCUCAAAUAGGAUAUAUCGGGUCUAUACGCCCUCAAAUAGGAUAUAGCGGGUCUAUCCGCCCUCAAAAGGAUAUAUCGGGUCUAUCAGCCUUCAAAUAGGAUAUAUCGGGUCCAUCCGCCCUCAAAUAGGAUAUUUCGGGUUCAUCUGCCCUCAAAUAGGAUAUAUCGGGUCUAUCCACCCUCAAAUAGGAUGUAGCAGGUCUAUCCGCCCUCGAAUAGGAUAUAUCGGGUCCAUCCGCCCUCAAAUAGGAUAUAUCGGGUCCAUCCGCCCUCAAAUAGGAUAUAUCGGGUUCAUCCACCCUCAAAUAGGAUAUAUCGGGUCUAUCUGCCCUCAAAUAGGAUAUAUCAGGUCUAUCCACCCUCAAAUAGGAUAUAUCAGGUCUGUCCGCCCUCAAAUAGGAUAUAUCGGGUCUAUCCGCCCUCAAAUAGGAUAUAUCGCGCCCUCAAAUUGGAUAUUGAAGUUAAUCCUUCCUCAAAAGGACAUUUAAUUUAUUUUGACCCGAGUGGUCCCGCUUGCAUAAACAUUGCCAAAAUAUAUCUUUCAUAAACCAUUUCCAAAUGCAUUUACCUUUUUAAACUAAUUUUCAUGUGUCGUUGCCGACCAUGAAAUAUGCCACCAUAAAAUUAUAUUUUUAUAUGUUUUAAAUUCGCAUUUCUUAUGAAUUGAUGCCUAAAUAUUAUUUUCAUAAGAUUACUUUUAUGGCAUAUUGCAUCUUAUUUCCUAACGAUUGUUUUUAGCGUUGUUAAGCUUUGCAGGAAAUAUAGCGCAACGUGGAACUAUAUCUUAGCAGUAAACUGGGGCAAUUUGUUAGGGAGGAAUACCAAACUCUCCAACAAAGGUCAAGGAUCUACUUCGAACUCCGCUCGGCUCGACUCUCAAAAUUCAUAAUUAAUUUCUUAUUUCAAACAUCUUUCUUUUAAUCAUGGUAACCAGUGUCUCUAUUAUUCGAUGCUGGGGCAUCAUUUUAAGAUCCGCAUCAGUAGUUGAGUCCUACUCUAGGAUACCAUAAGUCUUGAACUACAUAUGGCCUGAUUCUCGUGUAACCCGAAAUAUGUAGGCAACUCGGAGACCGGAGUGCGGCCUUAACCAUCCAAUCUUCCCGUUUACUCUUGUACUUUUCCAAGAUUCUGUCAAAACCCUUAAUAUGUAUUCAUGGUCACGACAAGAUUGGCUACUAGGUCAAUAUUCUUUGCCCGACAACUCUUUCAUCGUCCCCGGUCAAAGAGGGGCAGCUGUUGACAUCCAAUUUUGUCCCUCCUUUCUUCCAAACUAUUUCUUUAAGCUUCUAAUAUUACUAAUAAUUUAAUAAUAAUUAUUUUACAGUUGUUACCCUAAAAUAGACCUAAUUAGUAUAACUAUCCCUAUUAUUACUGUUAUUAUUAUUAUUAAAUUAUUAUCAUUGUCAUUAUUAUUAUUAUUAUUAAUUUUAUUUUAAUAUCAUUCUUAUCGGCUUUUGCGAAAUCCAUAUCAAUUUCUUUCAUAUAAUCACAUAGUAGUAUUUAUUUCAAUUUUAUACUUUACAAUGUUUAUUCUUUAUUUCACAAUUAAUGUAAUAGUUAUUUUAACAAAUUAGAUGCUAGAAAAUCUUAUAUUUUGAUAAGUCGCCUCGAAUUAAUUAAUUAAUUAUUUAAUAUUAAUAUAUGCUAAUAUAAUUAAUUGAGAGAUUUAAUAAAAUUAUAAGCCCAAAGAAAGACUUGAAGAAGGAAGUGGGUUGUCUAAUAUCUAGUCACCUAAAAUUCAUUACAAUCUCUAACCCCCAAGAAUAGGCCCUGUUAGGCCAAGCUUAUGCCCCAAACCCGCCUGAACCUCAGCCCAAUCGGCCCAACACCCCUUCAAAUAUUUUAUUCCCUAAUUUCUAACCUAGUAAGAAAACACAACAGCGCCUCUGUCCACCUUCCUUUGUCUCCUUCUUCAUUUUCUGAAACCUCCAAGCUUUGACACCUUUUAAUCAAAUGAUGUUGCACCAUUUUUGUGCAAAUAACAUCUCUUUCUUUGCUCUUCCGCAUUUGUGCUCGAUGACCUGCAAAUCUUUAAUUCUCAGUCAAAAAUCUCACCAAUUCGGGCAAGAACAGAGCAAAUCACGUGAAUCCGUCCAAACCUCCAACGUUCGGAUUCAAACGGUUCUUUGACCUUCAUUUGAAAUCUGAAUUUUGAUUUUUGAAAACUCUAGCUCGUGUUUAUCUCUAUAAAUACUCGCAUGCUAGAACUCUUUUGGGGACAUGGUUGGAAGCCGCCGCCCCUCUGUUAUGAAAUUACUCUCUAAAAACUCAUCUCUUUCUCUCGGUCUCUAUUAAAUUUUUUGCCAUAACAACACCCUUGCUCCUGCUGCUUCUAACGUUCUUUGCUUGCUCGAGUUAGUUGAUUCGAGGUCGGAGAUUCGAUCAUCCGUUGAAGACGCCCCAGUCACUGCACCUAAAAAGGUCAGUAACUUGUGAAGCUUUGAUUUCUUUUGUCCUUUCUUUUCUCGGUCAAUGCCCAGAAGUCAUUAGCUAUCUCAACUAGAAAACAUGAGUUAGGAUUCAUUUUUAGGCUGGCUCUUUAGUUUCUGUUAUCUGUUUAUAUGUUCACGUGUUUGUAGAAAUUAUGACUGUAAGAGUAUUGAGGCUGGCCAUUUAUUUAUUUAUUUAUUUUAAAAUAUGAGUAACAAGUAUUUGUCUGCCUAUAAAUACGUCCUCUUUUCGUUCUUUGAUGCUUGACAUAGUGAUAUGCUACAAGUAUAUUCUGUUUCUAAGAAAAUAACUCAAACUUGUUAGUGUCAAGAAAUAAAGCAUUAAAGAUCAUGCCUAUAAGCUUCGUCAGUUCCGCAAUAUGUUUUCCUCUAAGUAUGAAGUAUUUGAACCUUAAAUAUGUUUUUGCCUUUGCGAUACUAGAUAACCUUAUCUAUGACUCCGGCAAUUCCUUCUUACACGUUAGUUAUCUUAAAAUACAUGUAUACUAAAUAUCUUGUAUAUGGGUUAAAAUUAAUCUAUAUGUAAAUGUUAGUAAUUGGAUACACUUGAGUGUCAUCUUUGUGAUAGACGUCAUGUUUGAAGUCCUCGAAAUACUGAAUCUGCUUCUGGAUAAGAAGAAUGGGUAUUUGGCUUAUUGGUCCAUUGUUGCGAUUUCUGAACAAAAAUGGCACAUUGACUUUUGUAAUUGAAUAGUAUUAUAUAGAUGCUGUAACUUAGUCAUAAUAUUUUCAUGACAUAGAGUUUGGUUGUUUAAGGCCUUGAUGUUAGAGCUAUAGAACAAAAAUCAAUUAUUCUUCUUAAGGAAAACAGUUUUAUGUGGAGUAUUUCAUCUUAUAAACUUUUACGGGAUGGGUUAUAUUACGAGUCUUUACUUCUUUAUUUAUCUCUUAUGUACUAUAAAGAAUCAGAUUCCAUUUUCUAAUUCUUAUUUCUUGUUUGUCUUUGUAUAUGCACAUGGAGCAAAUGGAGUCUAAUUCAAGACUCUGGAAGUGGAGUCUCAUAGAGACUCAACAGUAUCCGAGCAUGGAGUUAUCACAUCCUACACCGUCUUCCUUAGAAUGCACCAAAUAGCAAACAAACAAGCGAAAUACUAUGGAGUUCUUCUUUUAAUUCUUUUGCCAUUCAUUUAAUCUAACUUUUGUGAUUGUUAAUUUGCUUGUGUAUUUGGGUUUUAUCUCAAGUUUGGAUUUAUUGAUUUAGGUUCUUUGCUAUCCUUAUAUCACAUAAG